UUGUGGAAAAUCAGCAAAUGCCCCCACUUCAAUUCCAUACACCUUUUUCCAAUUGAUGAAGUAGAGAUUUCCAUCUCUAAGGCCUUUGGAAACAUGUUGGCCAUCUUAUGUCUUGACAAAACAUCCAUUCAUGUUAUAUUGAACCUUACAACGAUGCGAUACAAGUUUGCUAACCGAAAGGAGGUUCUUCUUCAUUUUUGGCACAUGUAGGACU
RNAcentral lists this long non-coding RNA (214 nucleotides) under Physcomitrium patens. RNAcentral describes it as "long non-coding RNA (PPAT_LNC007353)". The record is from RNAcentral. Lineage: Eukaryota; Viridiplantae; Streptophyta; Bryopsida; Funariales; Funariaceae.